Molecule: long non-coding RNA, 578 nt
Organism: Phacochoerus africanus (Common warthog)
Lineage: Eukaryota; Metazoa; Chordata; Mammalia; Artiodactyla; Suidae
Exons: 5
Source: RefSeq, a predicted model, not a curated record
AUUGCAGUGUAUUUAAAUACUUACCAAUCCUCUAGAAAAGCACAACCUCUCCUAGAGCUUCAGAAUUGCAGCUUCUCUGACUGGACUCGCCCAAAUAUGAAGAUCCCUCUUUUUGCCUUUUUAAUGGCUCUUUUGGUUGCCAUGAUUGGUGCUGAUUCAUCUGAAGAGAGAAGGUAUUACCGAGCUUCAUAUCUGCCAUAUCAACCACAGCCAUAUCCACCAAAUCAUCCUCAUCGUCUUCCUUAUCAGGAGGCAUAAAGUGCCUCUCAGUAAGCACAGAACAUGAUCACAGAGGCUUAGUGACAAGUUCUAUUUGGCUGGUCCUCAUGAUGAUUCUUCUCAGUCUUCCUCAUAUCUACAAAUCUCAGCCCUCAGGGAAAAAAAAGAAAGAAAAAAAAUUCAGUCAAUACUGUUAGAUGAAUAUCACAUACCUGAGAUCAAAUAUCAAUACUUUUAAAACCAUAGUAAAAAUAUUCUUUGAAGUAUUUGAUUGCUUUCUACUUCUUCUAUGUGUUAAAGGGUUAAAAUUAAAAAAAAAAAAAACUUACCAUGCAUAAUAAAUUGAUCUUUCAAGCAUA